GAUCACCAGACAUUUGAAGCCAGUCUGGGCUACAUAGAUCCUGUCUCAAAACAACAAAAAAUUCAAUAGCUCUUUUAAAAAAAUCAGUGAUGUUGUUUUUCUAGUUAAGUCUUUAUUGUAGAAUUUUUUUGGUGGGGGGUGAAGCCCUGGGCCUCCAUGUCACCUACAAGACAAAUUCUCUACCACUGGGCCUCAACCCCAGCCCUGAAAACACGACGGGAAGACGGGGAGCCCCUGUAUCCCACCUCAGUGUCUCUUGUUAACUCCUCUGAUCAGUGUGGCAGCCCAGGGUGCAGCUCCAUGGGGAGCAUUUACCCAGCGUGCGUGAGGCCGGGGUUCCAUCCCUAACACUGCCAAAAAAAAAAGCCCAAGAUGUUUCAAGGGAAGCCUUUGAUGAGUAGGAAAGGUGUGCGUUCUUUCCUGCUUCCAGCCUGACUCCUUCUUGCCAUUUGUCGUGAGAUGUGUACGUGCAGAUCCACAGCUCGUUUUUCCCAUGAGUGACAUGGAGUCACGGUCGCCAGGAGAAGAAGUGGAAUCUGUGAGCCGCAAACAGAGCCAAGGUGGACAGUAAAUGUUGGAGAUAAAAGCGGUGCCUCAGCACCUAGCCUCCGGAGCUGACGUUUCCCUUUACCAGCCAGAGCCUGGAAGGGUCUGGAAGCCUUGCAUGAAGGAGGGCCCCAAGUCCACUCGGGACUGGGCAGCUGUCCCCACCCCAGUGCCCACUGUUCUACUCCUGCUUCCUGCCUCUGUGAACCGGAAUUCUCUACCACCUCAGGUGAGUCUGAAGGCCUGGACUCACACCCAGCCCAGAAAGUGCUGCAGUGACCCUGAGCGACCGCCAGCACCCGGGGUGUACACUCGCUUCCCGCCUGCACUGUGGUGUCACUGUGCAGAGCGUAAUGAAGGAGACGCUAAGCAGUAAAGCUGCUGGCACCCCAGCUUUGGAAGGAAAUGUGCCCUGGGCACGCCUGGCCCAUGUGGGAGGGCCGUGCAUCAGCCCCGAGCUCAGAGGGACAGUGCCUGAUUCCGGCUGUCUUCCAAAAGAGGCUGCAGUGGUGCUGCCCUUAUCACCAUGCAGACCUGCGGGCAAAAAUGGACAGUAAAUGAAAUGCAGCUUCGGCACUUUCUGUUCCCAAAUCUACCAAUGCCUAUUUUGGGUUUUUAAAAAAUUUAUUUUAGGGCCGGGGAUUUAGCUCAGUGGUUUUGGCGCCUGCUGUACAAG
This 1222-nucleotide long non-coding RNA is filed under the name Heterocephalus glaber (naked mole-rat). RNAcentral's name for it is "lncRNA (ENSHGLG00000042392.1)". The record is from RNAcentral. Lineage: Eukaryota; Metazoa; Chordata; Mammalia; Rodentia; Bathyergidae.